Molecule: ribosomal RNA, 509 nt
Filed under: Sternoplatys sibiricus
Lineage: Eukaryota; Metazoa; Arthropoda; Insecta; Coleoptera; Chrysomelidae
Description: partial 16S ribosomal RNA
Rfam family: Bacterial large subunit ribosomal RNA
Source: RNAcentral
GUCCUUUUGAUAAUAAUUUAAGGUCUGGCCUGCCCACUGAAAUUUAAAUGGCCGUGGUAUUUUGACCGUGCUAAGGUAGCAUAAUCAUUAGUUUUUUAAUUAAAAACUGGAAUGAAGGGUUAGAUAAGAAAAUGACUGUCUCUAUUUAAUUUUAUUAGAACUUUAUUUUUAAGUUAAAAAGCUUAAUUUUAAUUAAAAGACGAGAAGACCCUAUAGAGUUUAACUAUUAAUAAAUUUUUUUAUUUUAGAAUUUAAUUAUUAAAUUUUAUUUAUAGUUUAAUUGGGGCGAUUUAAAAAUUUACUUAACUUUUUUUUUAUUUAACAUUGAUUUAUGAUUAGUUGAUCCAAAAAUUUUUGAUUAUAAGAUAAAAUUACCUUAGGGAUAACAGCGUAAUUUUUUUAAAAAGUUCAUAUUGAAAAAAAAGAUUGCGACCUCGAUGUUGGAUUAAAAUUAAUUUUUGGUGUAGAAGCUAAAAAUUUUAGGUCUGUUCGACCUUUAAAAUUUUACA